GACAGAGGGUGCAAACGUUGCUCGGAAUCACUGGGCGUAAAGGGCGUGUAGGCGGGAAGGAAAGUCAGAUGUGAAAUCCCUGGGCUCAACCCAGGAACUGCAUUUGAAACUCCCUUUCUUGAGUGUCGGAGAGGAAAGCGGAAUUCCUGGUGUAGAGGUGAAAUUCGUAGAUAUCAGGAGGAACACCGGUGGCGAAGGCGGAUCUCUGGACCAGUUCUGACACUGAGGCGCGAAAGCGUGGGUAGCGAACAGG
This 253-nucleotide ribosomal RNA is filed under the name uncultured bacterium. RNAcentral describes it as "partial 16S ribosomal RNA". It matches the Rfam family "Bacterial small subunit ribosomal RNA", at positions 524 to 776 of the family's 1533-position model. The record is from RNAcentral.